UUGAAUUUUAGUGAAGAGUUUGGUUGUAGCUGGCCCAUUCAUUUGGGCAUGUGCACACCUUCCUCUUUCAUCCCACACACACCUGUGAACCUGUGAGACAGAGAUGGGGAAUUUACUUGCUGCUUUUUGGAAUACAAAGGCAAUAGGUUAUUGGACCCCCCCUCUGUCUACUCAAUUAAUAUAAACUCAAUUUAUUUUAAAACGAAUGUAAUGGAUGUAACACAUCUCAUAC
This 232-nucleotide unclassified non-coding RNA is filed under the name soil metagenome. Its description in RNAcentral is "partial internal transcribed spacer 1". The record is from RNAcentral.